GGUGAGUAACAUGUAGGUAUCUACCCUAUGGCCUGGAAUAACACGAGGAAACUUGUGCUAAUACCGGAUAAGUCUUCACGGAGAAAGCUUUAUGCACCAUUGGAUGAGCCUGCACUUGAUUAGUUUGUUGGUGGGGUAAUGGCCUACCAAGACUUUGAUCAAUAGCUGAUUUGAGAGGAUGAUCAGCCACAUUGGGACUGAGACACGGCCCAAACUCCUACGGGAGGCAGCAGUGGGGAAUCUUGCACAAUGGAGGAAACUCUGAUGCAGCGAUACCGCGUGAGUGAAGAAGGCCCUUGGGUUGUAAAGCUCUUUCGUCGGGGAAGAAAAUGACUGUACCCGAAUAAGAAGGUCCGGCUAACUUCGUGCCAGCAGCCGCGGUAAUACGAAGGGACCUAGCGUAGUUCGGAAUUACUGGGCUUAAAGAGUUCGUAGGUGGUUGAAAAAGUUGGUGGUGAAAUCCCAGAGCUUAACUCUGGAACUGCCAUCAAAACUUUUCAGCUAGAGUAUGAUAGAGGAAAGCAGAAUUUCUAGUGUAGAGGUGAAAUUCGUAGAUAUUAGAAAGAAUACCAAUUGCGAAGGCAGCUUUCUGGAUCAUUACUGACACUGAGGAACGAAAGCAUGGGUAGCGAAGAGGAUUAGAUACCCUCGUAGUCCAUGCCGUAAACGAUGUGUGUUAGACGUUGGAAAU
RNAcentral lists this ribosomal RNA (691 nucleotides) under uncultured bacterium. Its description in RNAcentral is "bacterial SSU rRNA". It matches the Rfam family "Bacterial small subunit ribosomal RNA", at positions 105 to 830 of the family's 1533-position model. The record is from RNAcentral.